Molecule: ribosomal RNA, 466 nt
Filed under: uncultured bacterium
Lineage: Bacteria
Description: partial 16S ribosomal RNA
Rfam family: Bacterial small subunit ribosomal RNA
Source: RNAcentral
GACGAGCGCUGGCGGCGUGCUUAACACAUGCAAGUCGAACGGAAAGGCCCUGCUUGCAGGGUACUCGAGUGGCGAACGGGUGAGUAACACGUGGGUGAUCUGCCCUGCACUUCGGGAUAAGCUUGGGAAACUGGGUCUAAUACCGGAUAGGAGCCAUCUUUAGUGUGGUGGUUGGAAAGUUUUUUCGGUGUAGGAUGAGCUCGCGGCCUAUCAGCUUGUUGGUGGGGUAAUGGCCUACCAAGGCGGCGACGGGUAGCCGGCCUGAGAGGGUGUACGGCCACAUUGGGACUGAGAUACGGCCCAGACUCCUACGGGAGGCAGCAGGGGGGAAUAUUGCACAAUGGGCGCAAGCCUGAUGCAGCGACGCCGCGUGGGGGAUGAAGGCCUUCGGGUUGUAAACUCCUUUCGCUAGGGACGAAGCUUUUUUGUGACGGUACCUAGAUAAGAAGCACCGGCUAACUACGUG